GCCCCUUCCGUUUCUUCAACCUCUCCAUGCCCUUGAUCUAGCGACUUGGAUUGUGUCUGCCGCGACCACCGUUCCCUGGCUCACCGCUCACAGUCCUCCUGACAUCGUCGACCACCGCAUCAGAUCGCUGCAGCACCACGCAAUCCUAUCUUGACCCAGUAGACGAAUCUCCUCGUCCUCUCCCUCGGCCUCGUUCCCAUGGGUAGAGCCGCCGCCUCCUCCUUCCUCCCCAACUACUCAUGUCGCUUCCGCGCAUCCUCUUCUCUCCUCCUUGCCCUGUGGUUCACUUGACUGCACGCCGGCGAGACCCCUACACUCCUUCUAUCGUGGUGGUGCGAAACAACGGUGACAAUUGCUCGAUGGUGCCAAGGAGGGGGAUUAGAUGAUUUGCCGGUUAAGAUCUAAUUUCUCACCAAGGAGCUAAUCCAGAAUCAAACCUCACCCCAUGAUCUCCUCGGGGGAAAAUGCGCAGGAAAUUGUGGUACGGCUACUGUCCUCGAUGGAUUUUAUCUGGCGUCAUCUCAAGACGACCGUCGUGCAGUGAAAAAUCUUGCACUUUGUCCGACAGAAUUCAGAGGGACUAGAAUGGGGAAGGACCUCGGCUGUAUCAGCUAACAGUAACACAACAACAGUACCUAAUGAUGUAUGGUUCCAGCCUUCAAGCCCAUGAUGGAACUGGUUACUUGAAUCUGAAUGGCCAACCUCAUGCCAACUAUCUUUUAAUCUUAAUAUGCUUUUGCAUUAUAUUCUUCAGUGAGAAGUUGUUAUAUGUUACAAAACUAGAUUCGAACUCACUUUAGAACUGACCUAAAUGCAUUCUUAGUCCAGUAGUUAAUUUGGACAUGCCACUUUCUGGCUUGCUCAUAAAUAUCUUCGCUAUUUUGACCCUCGAGCCAUCCAUUAGUCCUAUGUUGUUGUACCGAUGCGCCUGCUUUUUAUUCUAUUAGUUAUUUCAAAAAAGUCUGUACAUAUGUGCUUCAUCCGCUUACUGCAUAAGACUUCUUCCUAUAUUUUUCUGAACCAUUUAAGUUACACGAAAAUAUAUCUAUAUUGCCGUCUAUGCCAGAUUUGAAUUUCAUGGCUCCAAUGAUCCAAGCUCUUAUUGGUUGAUUCAUCACCGUUUGAUAUUAUUUAUGGAGUGAGAAAUUUUGAUUCAAUUAAGCGGAUUUGAUUAAUACAUAUAUGUUUAAUCAGUUUUCUGUGAUUUUUUAAUACUUGCAUCACAUGUCAAGAGCGGGAAAAGGUACAACGACAGACCAUGGUCCUUAGGCAUCUAUAUAGAAAUGCCUUCCGAAGCAGAGAACAAAAGCGUACGCAACUUCUAUUUAAUAUGCAGCUUUUCUAUUCACUAUGAUGAUUAUGAGCAUUUCAUGUACAAGAUGCAUCGGUGGAUUCUUGUUUCCGUUGAUCUGCUGCCUCGAUUGUUACCGAGCUAAGGGAGGAAAUCCUUGGAAUUCUCUGCUACCUAUACCCAUAGGGGUUUCAUUCAGAUUGUACAGUUGAAGAAGAAAAAACUAAAGCAUGCUUUGGACCUCAAUAGCAAAGGAUUUUGUUUUACUAUGCUCGUGCUAAAAACGUGUCCUUGUCAUUUUAGUUCUAUGCAGUAGAGGACUUGUUUUUUCUGAGAAGGAGGUAUCAUGUAUGCAAAGCCAAGAUAUGAAUAUGAAGAUUUUA
Aegilops tauschii subsp. strangulata is the source of this 1674-nucleotide long non-coding RNA. RefSeq lists it as uncharacterized. NCBI's taxonomy places the organism in Eukaryota, Viridiplantae, Streptophyta, Magnoliopsida, Poales, Poaceae. The record is from RefSeq and is a predicted model, not a curated record.